This 197-nucleotide ribosomal RNA is filed under the name uncultured bacterium. RNAcentral's name for it is "partial 16S ribosomal RNA". It matches the Rfam family "Bacterial small subunit ribosomal RNA", at positions 328 to 539 of the family's 1533-position model. The record is from RNAcentral.
ACGCUCGACACCUACGGGAGGAGCAGUGGGGAAUAUUGCACAAUGGGGGAAACCCUGAUGCAGCGACGCCGCGUGAAGGAAGAAGUAUCUCGGUAUGUAAACUUCUAUCAGCAGGGAAGAAAAUGACGGUACCUGACUAAGAAGCCCCGGCUAACUACGUGCCAGUAGCCGCGGUAAUCUGAGCGGGCUGGCAAGGC